CUUUAAUCAAACUCCUUAUAUAUUAAGGGUGCGUUUGGUUCGCGCCAUCUUUUUAAGUUUUCUAAUAAUGCAAUGGAAAUAAAAAAAUAUAACGGUAUUUGGCUAAAAGCACUAAGUAAUCUAGUUGGUAAUAUUAGAUUCACUUGGGAAUGAGAUUCAUCCCAAAGUACUAAUCUCAUUUCCUUGCGGGAGAGUGGGUAUCCUCAUAUUAAUGAAUUGGGUAAUCAUAAUAUGUCUAAUCUUUUUCUUUCUCCCUACCCGCCGGCUAGUUAGUAUUAUUAUCCUUUACACUCUAACCUCAUAUCUUUCUCUAAACUUAUUUUUUUCUCUCUAAACUUUAACUCUUUUUCUCUCUCUAAACUAAACUCUCUCUCCCCCUCUUUUUCUAAAAUUUCAACUCCCUCACUCCCUCUAAUCUCGAGUACUUUAUUUCUCUUCCUAUUAUUUAAUUAUGCUCUCUCUCUCUAACCUAUAUUUUCUCUCUAUUUUUUCUAAAAAGAUGUUGAAAUUUUUGAUAGCAUUAUCUAAAAUUAAUUAAAGAAAUAAAUAAAUUAAUUGUAUAUUUUUUGUAAACUUAAAUAACAUGACUAAAUAAUAUGACCGUGCGAACCAAACGCAUGAAUGCCACACUCUUAGUAAUAGGAUAAAUAGGAAUAAGAUUUUCGGAUAUCUUUUUACUCCUAUUAAUCUUUCAUAGUGCGAAG
RNAcentral lists this long non-coding RNA (704 nucleotides) under Ananas comosus (pineapple). RNAcentral's name for it is "long non-coding RNA (ACOM_LNC038350)". The record is from RNAcentral. Lineage: Eukaryota; Viridiplantae; Streptophyta; Magnoliopsida; Poales; Bromeliaceae.